RNAcentral lists this small RNA (54 nucleotides) under Archaeoglobus fulgidus. The record is from RNAcentral. Lineage: Archaea; Methanobacteriati; Methanobacteriota; Archaeoglobi; Archaeoglobales; Archaeoglobaceae.
CACUCUCGAGCUGAACGAAAACGGGAAAGAGCACGCCUGGCAGAGCGAGAACAA